RNAcentral lists this ribosomal RNA (224 nucleotides) under uncultured bacterium. RNAcentral's name for it is "partial 16S ribosomal RNA". It matches the Rfam family "Bacterial small subunit ribosomal RNA", at positions 126 to 334 of the family's 1533-position model. The record is from RNAcentral.
CUACCCUGAGGUUCGGAACAACCAGAGGAAACUCUGGCUAAUACCGGAUGAGACCACGCUACUGCGGUAGUGUGGGAAAAGCGGGGGACCUCUUUGGAGGCCUCGCGCCACAGGAUGAGCUCGCGUUCCAUCAGGUAGUUGGUGGGGUAAUGGCCCACCAAGCCUAAGACGGAUAGCUGGUCUGAGAGGAUGAUCAGCCACACUGGAACUGAGAUACGGUCCAG